GGUGAGUGUGCUUACUAUGCUGUUGAAUUCAUGGGAAAACACAACUAAAGUCAACUACAGUCUGAUAGGAGUGUGGGUGAUUAGAGGGAAAGCUGGAGAAAAAGUUCCGUAAGGCCUGCUAGAAUUGAAGGCUCUUGUCUUUCCAUCGGGCCUCAUUAGGACUGGAGAAAUCUUUGGCAGAAAGCAGACAGUCUUCAGCUUUCAUGCCUCCAUCCAAGUAACAAAAGUGUUGAGAAGCUGCAGAAAAAUGUGCUCAUGAUGGACUGCCAAGAAACAGGUACUAUCGGGUGACAGGACUGAUUAAGUUUUCAGAGGUGUCUUUUCCUCCCAGUGGGAGAGUGCAAGACAAGGGGAAGCCAGUAAAUGAAGAAAACAAAUAGAGGGGUGCCAAACAAAUACAACCAAACAGGAAACAAAAACGAGGAGAGAAGUUAACAACAACAAAGUGGUGAUAACAAGAUUUAAUGUGUUUGGAAAGAAACUACAGAGAGCUGACAAUUUGGGAAAUGUUCAGUGAGAAAUGUGCUUAUAGCAUUAUUCAUUAUUAUGCAUGUUUUUCAUAAUGCUUUAUUUGUUUUUAAACUGUAGACUUGGGGACACAGUCACUUAGAGCUUAGCAUGUUUGCCUUUCACAUAUUGGGUUGGGGGUUUGAUUUGUGCCUCAUGUGGAGCUUGCAUGUUUUCCCACAUGCUCUGGGGGUUUCCGUUCUGUAUUUCUUGUUUCCUUUCCCAGUCCAUUUAGCAUUUCUAAAUAAUUAAUAGUGUGUGAGUGUAUGAGCGAUUGUGCCCUGUGAUGGGUUGGCAGCCUGUCCAAGGUGUCUCCCAAUUAUGCCCUGUGUUCCUGGAGAUAGGCUCCAGGCUCCACACAACACUGUAUAAAAUAAGUGCUACAGAACGUGGAUAAAGAGAUGAACUUAUUUUUGGUUCUCACUAAGCAUUUUAAUCCAUGCUUAGUCAUUGUACAUUGUUCAUUACAUUGUAUUCUUUAAUAUCUCUGUAAAAUCAUUAUUAUUAUUUUUUUUACAAUAAGUUUUUUACAAUUAUUUUUAUAUACUGUA
This is a long non-coding RNA of Tachysurus fulvidraco (yellow catfish), 1058 nucleotides long. RefSeq lists it as uncharacterized. Lineage: Eukaryota; Metazoa; Chordata; Actinopteri; Siluriformes; Bagridae. The record is from RefSeq and is a predicted model, not a curated record. The transcript is spliced from 3 exons.